GACGAACGCUGGCGGCGUGCUUAACACAUGCAAGUCGAACGGAAAGGCCCUGCUUUUGUGGGGUGCUCGAGUGGCGAACGGGUGAGUAACACGUGAGUAACCUGCCCUUGACUUUGGGAUAACUUCAGGAAACUGGGGCUAAUACCGGAUAGGAGCUCCUGCUGCAUGGUGGGGGUUGGAAAGUUUCGGCGGUUGGGGAUGGACUCGCGGCUUAUCAGCUUGUUGGUGGGGUAGUGGCUUACCAAGGCUUUGACGGGUAGCCGGCCUGAGAGGGUGACCGGCCACAUGGGGACUGAGAGACGGCGGAGAGGCAUACGGGAGGCAGCAGUGGGGAAUCUUGCACAAGGGGCGGAAGCCUGAUGCAGCCACGCCGCGUGCGGGAUGACGGCCUUCGGGUUGUAAACAGCGUUCGCCGGUGACGAAGCGUGAGUGACGGUAAUGGGUAAAGAAGCACCGGCUAACUACGUG
Molecule: ribosomal RNA, 468 nt
Filed under: uncultured bacterium
Lineage: Bacteria
Description: partial 16S ribosomal RNA
Rfam family: Bacterial small subunit ribosomal RNA
Source: RNAcentral